CGUAGGCGGGUCUUUAAGUCAGGGGUGAAAUCCUGGAGCUCAACUCCAGAACUGCCUUUGAUACUGAAGAUCUUGAGUUCGGGAGAGGUGAGUGGAACUGCGAGUGUAGAGGUGAAAUUCGUAGAUAUUCGCAAGAACACCAGUGGCGAAGGCGGCUCACUGGCCCGAUACUGACGCUGAGGCACGAAAGGCGUGGGAGCAAACA
This 205-nucleotide ribosomal RNA is filed under the name uncultured bacterium. RNAcentral describes it as "partial 16S ribosomal RNA". It matches the Rfam family "Bacterial small subunit ribosomal RNA", at positions 570 to 774 of the family's 1533-position model. The record is from RNAcentral.